GUCGAGCGAACGGACGAGAAGCUUGCUUCUCUGAUGUUAGCGGCGGACGGGUGAGUAACACGUGGAUAACCUACCUAUAAGACUGGGAUAACUUCGGGAAACCGGAGCUAAUACCGGAUAAUAUUUUGAACCGCAUGGUUCAUAAGUGAAAGACGGUCUUGCUGUCACUUAUAGAUGGAUCCGCGCUGCAUUAGCUAGUUGGUAAGGUAACGGCUUACCAAGGCAACGAUGCAUAGCCGACCUGAGAGGGUGAUCGGCCACACUGGAACUGAGACACGGUCCAGACUCCUACGGGAGGCAGCAGUAGGGAAUCUUCCGCAAUGGGCGAAAGCCUGACGGAGCAACGCCGCGUGAGUGAUGAAGGUCUUCGGAUCGUAAAACUCUGUUAUUAGGGAAGAACAUAUGUGUAAGUAACUGUGCACAUCUUGACGGUACCUAAUCAGAAAGCCACGGCUAACUACGUGCCAGCAGCCGCGGUAAUACGUAGGUGGCAAGCGUUAUCCGGAAUUAUUGGGCGUAAAGCGCGCGUAGGCGGUUUUUUAAGUCUGAUGUGAAAGCCCACGGCUCAACCGUGGAGGGUCAUUGGAAACUGGAAAACUUGAGUGCAGAAGAGGAAAGUGGAAUUCCAUGUGUAGCGGUGAAAUGCGCAGAGAUAUGGAGGAACACCAGUGGCGAAGGCGACUUUCUGGUCUGUAACUGACGCUGAUGUGCGAAAGCGUGGGGAUCAAACAGGAUUAGAUACCCUG
Molecule: ribosomal RNA, 746 nt
Filed under: uncultured Staphylococcus sp.
Lineage: Bacteria; Bacillati; Bacillota; Bacilli; Caryophanales; Staphylococcaceae
Description: bacterial SSU rRNA
Rfam family: Bacterial small subunit ribosomal RNA
Source: RNAcentral